Long non-coding RNA from Chinchilla lanigera (long-tailed chinchilla), 1249 nucleotides. RefSeq lists it as uncharacterized. NCBI's taxonomy places the organism in Eukaryota, Metazoa, Chordata, Mammalia, Rodentia, Chinchillidae. The record is from RefSeq and is a predicted model, not a curated record. The transcript has 4 exons.
CUUCUUCUCCAGUUUUCAUUUUUAUGUGUUGGCAACAAUCCUCAGACUGGUACAGUAGUAUGCACCUGUAAUCACAGGAGUCAAAGGCUAACGCAAGAUCAAAAGUUCAUGGCCUCCCGGGACACAUAGUGAGAACUUUUCUCAAAAUUUAAGUGACAAUAUUUAAUCCUCCACACUCCUUCCAUUUCUGUCUCAUUUGGAGAUGAUGUGAUCACAACCAGGGAUCCACAACUCUGAAGUUGGCAGAUACUUAACCUACCUGUGGAAAUGAAUUCUCACUGUGGACCCAUUAAAAACUGUCUUGUGAUCCAUUUGUCAUUCUCUGUAUAGUGGCUUCAGUGGUAAAUCUGGAAUUCCUCUCAUGUUUAUUAUGCAAACUCACAAUAUUUACAAGGUAUUAAACACUGUUAGAUUUUUAAUGUACUGAGCAGUUUAAGGUUUUUUGUUUUGUUCUGUUUUAUUUUUUGACAAAUCAAAGGUAUGAUUCUGAAGUGAAACCAUGUUUUUCUUGAAGUUUUACUUUUAUUAUUAGUGCCCAAAGAACUUUGCAAAAUACUGAUUUUCAAUGCAUAUAUUUUGAUCAUAUUCUUCCUCUUAUAACUCUACCUUACACCUUAUAUCCAUGUGAGUGUUAACAUUUGGUGUCACUGAGCAGUAAAAUAAUAUGCCAUUCUUCACCUAGUUUCAUUGUCCUUAUACAUCCUCCAAUAAAACCGGUUUUCCACUAGCAUUUUCAAUUAUUACUCAUAAAUCUUAGUUAAUGUUAAUUGAAUUUUUUCUAUGAAAGCAGAUUCAACUUUAAAAGUGCUAUUAAUGUACUACUAGAAAAAAAGGACUCAAUUUCAUAACUAAUAAUAUUUGGAAAAAGAUAUUUCCUAUGGUUAUUGAAGCAGUUGAUUAAUAUUCACCUACCUUCGUGUUCUGUGGUUGGUGAUCUUGUAGGUUCCCUCUAUGAGCUGUGCACUAGGGACAGUGCAAAAAUACAACUGCUAGGUCAGCAGGAAAAGUAGUAUUCUUAUUCUACUAUUGCUUUAGCAAUGAAUUAUCUAGCAUCAGAACUGCUGUGAGAGAAGGUGUGCAUAUAGAUGGAGGGUAAGAGUUUGAUGACUAAGACAUGAAGUUAAUAUUCGAAUGAUUCAUGCUAGAUGUGCUGUUGCAUAACUGUAGCCCUAGGGCUUGGGAGGCUGAGGCAGGUGGAUUGCCAUGAGUUUGAGCCCUGCCUGGGCUGCCUACUGAGUCCAAGGCCAGC